This 107-nucleotide small nuclear RNA is filed under the name Rodentolepis nana. RNAcentral's name for it is "Hymenolepis nana U5 spliceosomal RNA". It matches the Rfam family "U5 spliceosomal RNA". Rfam says of the family: U5 RNA is a component of both types of known spliceosome. The precise function of this molecule is unknown, though it is known that the 5' loop is required for splice site selection and p220 binding, and that both the 3' stem-loop and the Sm site are important for Sm protein binding and cap methylation. Lineage: Eukaryota; Metazoa; Platyhelminthes; Cestoda; Cyclophyllidea; Hymenolepididae. The record is from Rfam by way of RNAcentral.
GUACUCUGGCACCUCAGUUGCGGAUAAAUCUUUCGCCUUUUACUAAAGAUUUCCGUGUGGAGGUGAAACAAUGAGUCUAGUUUCAUUUUUGGGCUGCCUUGGUGGCU